This 923-nucleotide long non-coding RNA is filed under the name Fragaria vesca (wild strawberry). RNAcentral's name for it is "long non-coding RNA (FVES_LNC004758)". The record is from RNAcentral. Lineage: Eukaryota; Viridiplantae; Streptophyta; Magnoliopsida; Rosales; Rosaceae.
ACCACCGUUCAGAGUGACCAAUGAAAACCCAUGGAAGUAACCACGUAAGCACAUGCAAACAAAACAGAAACUAGUAAUAAAACUACUCAAGCCUAUACUCCCCCUAAGAGUGUGCAUAUGAAAAAGCGAAAAAAUGUUUGUUUCUGACGAAUACUCUUAGAGAAAAGGACUGCACAAACACGCUUUAAGGAAAAAGACCAUUCAAUUUGCAUCCUUGGUUUUUUGAAGACAGUUUAAGCAUAGACUCACAAGGUGACAUAUCAUAACAAACAAACAAACCUUGAUCAAACAAAAGCAAAUCACAUAGGUUGUGAUAGUGGCAAGUCCCAAUGGUCUCUAUUUUUAUUUGCAGCACUUUAGAGUGAGUGUGUAAGUGAGAUAAUAAUCACAUGGUGCUUGAUAAGCUUGAAGGCAUCAACUAAGUAUUUAUUGUCAGUGUGAGCCAUGUCAUGCAAGGAUAUCAUCUGGUCCUUCCAUCCUUAUCUCUCCAGAAUUUGAUUUUAAAGUCCAGAGGCUACUUUUAACCGUGACUUUAUUUUGGUCCAAUCAUUAAUAUCACAGCCUUAACUGAGAAAUCAUCCUCAUAGGUUCAAGUAGCAGAAAAUGUGUCAUUGCUUCACAAGAUCAGUUGACCUUGGACAAUAUGUGUAACAAGAACACUCAUAUGGACACAUCAUCUGAACCCAUCGAAUGAUAGAAUGCAUCUCAGAAAUCCCCACUACAUAACAAGAAAAGUGGAGGACUAGCUGAUUCAAGAAGUCAUUUGUGAUUGUCAAUCAAAAUUUUUUUCAACUUUGUUCUAACCAGAACGUCCUAAUUCUAAACCAAUCUCGUUUCUUCCCACCCUUAUAUCGUUCAUCACGACCAAGGAAUGUGUACUUUGAGAUUAGCCUAGAUCAUUGAGUUCUGUGAACCUCAAUCUU